This 726-nucleotide ribosomal RNA is filed under the name uncultured bacterium SY6-21. Its description in RNAcentral is "bacterial SSU rRNA". It matches the Rfam family "Bacterial small subunit ribosomal RNA", at positions 59 to 807 of the family's 1533-position model. The record is from RNAcentral.
AAGNCGAACGGUAACAGGCCUUCGGGCGCUGACGAGUGGCGGACGGGUGAGUAACGCGUAGGAAUCUGCCUCAUAGUGGGGGACAACGUGGGGAAACUCACGCUAAUACCGCAUACGCCCUACGGGGGAAAGGAGGGGAUCUUCGGACCUUUCGCUAUGAGAUGAGCCUGCGUUAGAUUAGCUAGUUGGUAGGGUAAAGGCCUACCAAGGCGACGAUCUAUAGCUGGUCUGAGAGGACGAUCAGCCACACUGGGACUGAGACACGGCCCAGACUCCCACGGGAGGCAGCAGUGAGGAAUAUUGCACAAUGGGGGAAACCCUGAUGCAGCAACGCCGCGUGGAGGAUGACGCAUUUCGGUGUGUAAACUCCUUUUAUGAGUCAAGAAAAUGACGGUAGCUCAUGAAUAAGCACCGGCUAACUCCGUGCCAGCAGCCGCGGUAAUACGGAGGGUGCAAGCGUUACUCGGAAUCACUGGGCGUAAAGGACGCGUAGGCGGGUUGGUAAGUCAGAUGUGAAAUCCUACAGCUCAACUGUAGAACUGCAUUUGAAACUACCGACCUAGAGUAUGGGAGGGGGAGAUGGAAUUAGUGGUGUAGGGGUAAAAUCCGUAGAUAUCACUAGGAAUACCAAAAGCGAAGGCGAUCUUCUGGAACAUUACUGACGCUAAGGCGUGAAAACCUGGGGAGCAAACAGGAUUAGAUACCCUGGUAGUCCACNCCCUAAAC